This is a long non-coding RNA of Anolis carolinensis (green anole), 5395 nucleotides long. RefSeq lists it as uncharacterized. Lineage: Eukaryota; Metazoa; Chordata; Lepidosauria; Squamata; Anolidae. The transcript has 2 exons. The record is from RefSeq and is a predicted model, not a curated record.
AUCAUAACCUAUUUUGAUGUUUAAUAGGCUUUUUUAAAUCUCUCCUUAUUAUCCAACAUAUUCACUUAUCUGACAUUCUGCCGGCCUGUUUAUGUUGGAUAAGUGAGACUCUACUGUAAAUAAGAAAUGUAAGAUCCUGUGUUCCAGGGCUUUUUUUCAAUUGACCUGAAUUUAUAAAUUUCAGAGGAUCAAAAUACAAUUAGGGUAAAUGGAUCAAAGUUCCCAUUGUUUUACUAUCCAUAAUCCCAACCAGAGGAAAAGUAAAGUGAAUGAACUGGUUAGAAUGCAUUGAGGAAGAUAUCAACAAGUUGGAUCCAGAGAAGGAUGACCAAAAUGAUUAAACAUCUGGAAACUAAGACUUACAAAGAAUUACUUAGAGAGCUAGUGAAAAAGAAGAGUGUGAAGUGAAAUGACAACUAUCUUUAAAUAUUCAAAGUGAUGAAGCAAGCUUUUUUCUGCUGCCCCAGAGACCAGAACAUAAACCAAUGCACUGAAUGCACAAAAGAGAUGCCACCUGAUGAUUUUUGUACUGUUCCACAGCAGAAUAGAUUGCUUUGGAGGCUGGCAAACUUCAUCUUUGAAGGUCUUUAAACAGAGAUUAGAUGGCUCCCUUUGAGAAGUUUUGCUGUGUAUUCCCGUAUGGCAUGGAGCUGGACUAGAGUGCCUUCCAACUCUAAGAUUGUAUGAUUCUAUGACCUCUACUUGCUAUACUAAGUAAGUGCCAUUAUAAUAAGUUCUGAACCCCCCCCCCCCUCCAGUUGUCAAUAUGGUCUCUUUCUCAUGACACAGUUAUAAUAUUGAUGCCACUGUAAUUGCCACAAUUUCACCCUGCUGAAUCCUAGGAUAUGUAGGUUAUUUAGAAUUCUGUACCAAAAAGCUCCAAUGCCUCACAAAACUAUAGAUGUAAGAAUUCUGCAAGAUGGAAUUGUGGGAGUUACAGGAGCAUUGAAGUGUUAUAAUUGUGUAACGUGAGCGAGCUUGAGAUCCGACUUUAUUCCAAUAGGAUUGAUUUAUAAUUAAUUGUAGAGUUCCUUCUUUAUCCUUUUUUUCUUUUCCCGCUCCACAUAUGCAUACACACACUACUAUACCAAAACACUUCAUAAAAUUAAUGGAUGUUCUUCUUCUUCAUUCACACAGUCAUCUCCGACUCUUCAUGACCUCAUGGACCAGUCCACGCCAGAGCUCCCUGUAGGCCAUCGCUGCCCCCAGUUCCUUCAAGGUCAGGAUGUUAUGCAGCCUAAAUAUAAUUUUGAUUGAAAUGUUGAUGUCCAAACAUACAUUUACUUUCUCCGCAUACAUUAGUUCUUUCUCUCUAUGUUUCUCAGAUAUAACUAAAAUUAGGCUAGUGCAAGAUUUUACCCAAUUCUACUGCCUCAAAUUUCAUUUAUCACAAAGUGUUAAGUGUAUUGCUUCCAAAGGACUUAAAGUGGCUGUAUUUCAAGCCUUGUCUUUUUGCUCUUUGAUUACAAUGAAUAUUUAUUGCCAUGUCUGGAAUUAUAAUUCUUGGAAUAAGUCCCAAGGAGAUUACAUAUUUUUAGGUACCAUUUCUUUCAGGUAAGAGCAGAGUGCUAUUUAGAAGGCAAAAAAACUGUAGGAAUAACUGCAGCUGUUAUCUACACAGCAGACUGUUGCACUGAGGGAUAUCCAUUUUGUACACACAGAGGACUCCACUGCCAGAGGUGAAUCAUUUUCUGGACUCAGCUAGAAUUGGAAGGAACAGUCGCUGGGACACUGUGAACUCAGAGGAAAAACCAAUUCCAUGACUGGGCAUGUGACUAGAAGAAACAGCAUUUGCCAUCCACCGUAGAUUCUUCUUCUAAGUUUAUGGCAGCACAUAAAUUGGUCCAUGUAAGUUUGAGCUCAGAAGAGAUAUUAGCUCACAAAAAAGAAGUCCAGUGAUUGUGUGGUUCAUGAUUAAAAACAAAAAUCAGAGUUGGGUAAUGUUAGGAAAAAAACAAAAUGUCACAAACAUAUGCAAGCGUUUAAGAUCUCCCGAAUUCUUCACCAAUCAAAAGGGCAUCAAAAGGGAGGGGGCACAAAAUGGACCAAUGACUUAUCAGAUGUGGCCAUCACAGGGCCUCAGGUUCUAUUUUUUGAAAAUAUGUUUUUGAUUUUUUUUUGUCCAAUAAAUACCCUGGGAGUAUGGGCAUAAUUUCACCAUAUUUUGAGCAUCUUGGAGCAUCUUUGGCCCAGAGGUCUAUUUUGUAAUAGGAAGUAAACUGGGUGUUGAUAUCCUGGAUUCUUUAUGUGGUAAAAAAAAAAAAAACACUUCACGUGGUUUCAAAAUGGUUCAGAGGGGCAAAUAUAUAAAAAAAUGCUUUGAGGGCUCUAGCAGCAUUUUCUCCUGACAUUUCACCUGCAUCUGUGGUGAAACAUCAGGCAAAACAUCACCUAGCUGUGGUGAAACGCUAUUACCUAGCUUCUGAAGUAGGACUGUCUAGUUCACAGACACAAUUAAGGCAUCUCAAAACUUUUCAAAAUCUGUUUGAUCUCCUUCACUGAAAGAUGAAAUGGUGCAGAGAGCAAUAAAAAUGUUGCAGUUAUGGAACAAAGUCUCAAAGAGCUUGCAUUCCAUCUGAUCUAAAACAAACUGGCAUUACUUAUACAACCAAAAAAGUUACUAAAUUAUAAUGUCAUGUAUCUUCUCUUUCAUGCAGCUUUUUAAAUGUUUCCUAACAAAAACAACUUUAAAAAAUGGGUUAAAACUAGGUUUUGGUGGAAGAAGCUGUGAUGUACUUUGUGGGCCUAAUUCAAAUUUUGGAAGACCAGUGGGCUGUUACAAGCUUAGUGAGCCAGCUGGUGCACAGCCUCAAGGCUACUACUGAUGAAGUUUCUUGGAGAAUGAGGCAUCUCUAUUCAUUUAUAUUGUCCAAAAGAUAAUACCAGGUAUGGCAUCAACGCUUGCAAAAUUAUUGUUCUUUUCAAUACAGCUCCUGCAAUUCCAUAGCCAGCACUGUCUGCGCAAUUUUACAGGUACAUACAAGAAGAGGAAAAGGUCAAUGAGCACUAGUCCUCCCCUUCCUAAUAUAUACACACUAACUUCAGCCUCAGGCUUCCCCACACCUGGUGGCUAGAUCUGGACGUGGCGCUCUCAUGUACUUAGAAACCCGAGGGACCCCAGUUUCAGAACAUUCUGAUUGUGUGGAGAAUUUUACACAUGUUUCUGCAAAUGUGAACAUUCCCCCUUUGGCCCUUUUGCUCAAUGAGCACAGCUCUCAGGCUGCAGCUGGCAGGAAGACGCAUGUCAGCAAUGGGAAGAGAGCAGAGUUUUAGAACUUAAUUGUUGUAAGUUACUAUCCCAAGACAGUUGCAUAAUUGCAUGAGCACUUUCGUUAUUGCAUCUUUCUUUCUUCUCACAAUUAUAGCAAUUCCCUGAUACAGGAUUCUGCAAUCAUACUUCUACAUACCCUCUUAACUCUCCCUAUUCACACUUCAGAAAAUUUAUUAUGAUGUUUAAAAAUGUUCCAGUUAAUUUUAAGGGACAUUUUAAAGUACAGGAAUAAUGAGGGGGAUGAGGGAAAGUAGCAAAGGAGAACUACCCCACUCCUGACAUAAUUUCACUGUCAGUAUGCCAGCACAGUGUAGAAUGGACCCAUCACACAAGGUAGGCAAGGGAAAAUAGUGGGACUGGCAGCGAUUGAUGGGUUUGGGGAGGAGGGAGAUUGACAGCAGGAUGCACAUGAUUUUGUGUGAUAAGAAUCUGUCAGCUGUUUCAAAGCCAGUUUGCUUGCCGUGUGCAAUAAAGUCCUUAGAAAGUUACGUUUCGGCCUAGAACUCUGAGAAUCCUCCAUUAAGCAUGGCCCAUUUAUCAUGCUAGCUGGUCAAUUCUGGACAUUUUAGCCCAGACUAAAUAUUUUUUCCAAGCAAUGAGCUAUGGCAUGUGGCUUUAAUCCUCUUUCCAUGUGUUGGGAAAAUAUUCAUAAGUUUUCUUGGGUAUGUGUCCAUUUCAAUCAGUUUACCAAGCCAUUGCUUCUUAUGUGACUGCAACUGUGAGCUGAGUUUCAAGCACAGCAUGAAUUAAACAGCUUUCUUCCAUUGUUUAACUGGAUUCUCCAUACAAUCCAUAUUCAGAGCAAUUUCAGAGUCCAGCACAGAAUAUCGUUCACUUCCAGUUGUCUCAUGAUAUAUACAUGAUUUAUGCAGGCAGAUGUUCGCCUCAUCCAACACUGCCCACUGCCAUGAAGCAAUCCCGUGUGGCCAUUGCUAUGGAGGAGUGGAGGAAAAGUUGGAGGAAGUGAGAAAGGCAACUGUGCUGCAGGAAUAGUUUCUCCUCCCCCUGCAGUUUGUGGGCUUUGUUGAUGAUGGCAUGUGCACCCUGCUACCAGUUUGCUAUCCCCCAUGAUUCUGCCAUCACUAGUUAUUAACAGGCAAAAUCUGCCAGUCGCUACCAGUCCUAAAACUUUCCCAUCACCUACCUUGGUGUUAACUCUCAUAGUCAUUUCCUCCUCACACACACACACACACACACACACACACACACACACACACUCUGUCAGUUAUCAUCUCUUAUCUUGCCAUGAACUGACAUUUCGAAUAUAAGUGGCUCUAAAAUGUCCUUUUGUGGCAGUCCAUUGGCUGUUCAUGGCUCAGUACACUUUGAUUCAGAAAAGGAUCUGUCUCCAAUUACAAGACACUGUACUGCUCUUUCCAACCAGACAUACUAUGUUAUUCCAGUAUAAAUAAGACAUUUCCAGGACUUAGCUAUGUAACUAAAACUGAAUGUUGGAGUUUGGAACAAUGUGUAUUUUAGCUUGUAGCUAGUUCUCAAUAUUCUAUAAAUUGGUUGCUGGGUGUAGGAAUCAUAAAGUGAAUAAUACACCAGAAUGAUGUUACUGGGUAUCCAUGACUGCAUAUGAAUCACAGUCAUUUCCAUUUGUGUGCUUCACCAAGAGAGAUAUUUAAGGCUAUUGGAUAGAGGUGUAGUGGAUAAUUGAUUCAGAAAUACAGGCAAAGCUUGAAUAUAAAAUAAAGAUUUGGGGCAGAAUACUGUUAUUGAUGUAUCUACACAUUACAUAUGUGUAUGUCUAUUUUUCAAGAAUGUUGUGCUUGUCACAUCAAUUAUUUUUUCCGCAGCUGAUAGAAUCUUACUGAAGGGCUCUCUAAACUCUGCCAACAUAGGGACCUUGGCUUCAUGUGAAUAGGAAGAGAUCAAAUCCAGUGACUUUAUGGUAUUGAAAAACUGAAAAUCUUUUUCUACUGAUCUUGUUCCUGUCAUGUCUCUUCCUCUCUUUUGGAGUAUUUAUCUUAACACUCAACCUGUAACAUCUAAACAAACAAGAUGCAGACGUAUCAACUGUAAGCAUCAUUAGCUUCCCCUAUGUAAAUUAUGUACCAUCUUUCCAAUGAGCUUCAAAUUUUUAUGCCUUCCAGUUGACCUAAUAAAAUACAACUGUUA